CAAAAAAUUAAUUUUGUUGACACAAAUUUACAAAUUAAAAAACGCAAGGAUUAAGCUUGUAAUUUGGAGUAUUGGCUUGAAUCCUCGAGAACUGAAAGCUGAGGACACGUCCCGUGGCGCAAGACGAAAGGGAAGAUCCUCUCGUUUUCCGAUCAAACAACAGUAGGUUUUGCUUUGGGCUUAAUCCAACUGAAGCGGGGUCAACAAUUUUCAAUAAUGUCGGAGAAAGGCGAAAAGGGUUUUCCAGUGCAGAAGAAACCUGGAAAGUCUUCGCUCAAAUCUUUGGCUUCCAAGGAUGCUUCUCUAAAAGGAAAGGAUGACAGUUUGUCGAAGUCAAAGAAGGGAAGGAAAGUCCAGUUCGAUGCUCAAGGGUCAGUUGAUGCGCAUAUCAAUCUUUCAAUGAAAUUCGGUGGAAAAAAUGGUGACUUGGGUAAAGGAGGGAAAGGUAUAAAUGGUGGGAAGGCUUCUGUUUCAAAGGAACAACAACCGCUAGAACUGAAGAUUGAGCAAGAACUUCCCAAGAAUGUUAAAUGCCAAUGCCUUAUGGACUGUGAGGCUGCACAACUUUUACAGGGAAUCCAAGAUCAGAUGGUUCUUCUAUCAGCAGAUCCAACCAUCAAAAUCCCUACGUCAUUUGAUCGGGGGCUGCAAUAUGCUAAACGAGCCAACCACUAUGUAAAUACCGAGUCGGUUAGACCCGUUCUUGAAACCCUCAAGAAAUAUGGUGUAGCGGACAGUGAGAUAUGUGUGAUUGCUAAUGUCUGCCCAGACACUAUUGAUGAAGUUUUUGCUCUUGUUCCAUCUUUGAAGAGCAAAAGAAGCAAGCUUACCGAACCUCUGAACAACGUCUUGAGUGAGCUAGCCAAGCUAAAAUCAUCCUGAAGUAACAAGGUUGGUUGCUUACCGUUGCUGGUGCUCAGGUCCGGUUGCCUUCUCCCCUUCCUACGAAGAUUGCUUUAUGGUGCUUAGAAAGUUAAAGACCUUUUUUUCCCUUUUCAAUGCUAUUCAAUAGAGAUAUAUCUGUAUUUGCUUACUGAAAUUGUUGAUAUAUAGUGUAGAAAUAGGGGCUACUCUGCUGAGAGAAUGCCUCUCCCAGGUGGUGAAGAUCAGAUAGAAAACCACUAUUGAUGAUCCUAAUGUAAAGGGAGUCAUCUCUACUGGAUGCUACACAUGUUUUGACUAUUUUAAUACCUCUGUCUGAACCAGACACCCAUCUUCAACGA
RNA transcript from Cucurbita maxima (winter squash), 1223 nucleotides. It is a transcript of the gene named DNA-directed RNA polymerases IV and V subunit 4-like, with no coding region annotated. The record is from RefSeq and is a predicted model, not a curated record. The transcript has 11 exons. Lineage: Eukaryota; Viridiplantae; Streptophyta; Magnoliopsida; Cucurbitales; Cucurbitaceae.